Molecule: ribosomal RNA, 950 nt
Filed under: Pediococcus acidilactici
Lineage: Bacteria; Bacillati; Bacillota; Bacilli; Lactobacillales; Lactobacillaceae
Description: bacterial SSU rRNA
Rfam family: Bacterial small subunit ribosomal RNA
Source: RNAcentral
GAUUAUGACGUGCUUGCACUGAAUGAGAUUUUAACACGAAGUGAGUGGCGGACGGGUGAGUAACACGUGGGUAACCUGCCCAGAAGCAGGGGAUAACACCUGGAAACAGAUGCUAAUACCGUAUAACAGAGAAAACCGCCUGGUUUUCUUUUAAAAGAUGGCUCUGCUAUCACUUCUGGAUGGACCCGCGGCGCAUUAGCUAGUUGGUGAGGUAACGGCUCACCAAGGCGAUGAUGCGUAGCCGACCUGAGAGGGUAAUCGGCCACAUUGGGACUGAGACACGGCCCAGACUCCUACGGGAGGCAGCAGUAGGGAAUCUUCCACAAUGGACGCAAGUCUGAUGGAGCAACGCCGCGUGAGUGAAGAAGGGUUUCGGCUCGUAAAGCUCUGUUGUUAAAGAAGAACGUGGGUGAGAGUAACUGUUCACCCAGUGACGGUAUUUAACCAGAAAGCCACGGCUAACUACGUGCCAGCAGCCGCGGUAAUACGUAGGUGGCAAGCGUUAUCCGGAUUUAUUGGGCGUAAAGCGAGCGCAGGCGGUCUUUUAAGUCUAAUGUGAAAGCCUUCGGCUCAACCGAAGAAGUGCAUUGGAAACUGGGAGACUUGAGUGCAGAAGAGGACAGUGGAACUCCAUGUGUAGCGGUGAAAUGCGUAGAUAUAUGGAAGAACACCAGUGGCGAAGGCGGCUGUCUGGUCUGUAACUGACGCUGAGGCUCGAAAGCAUGGGUAGCGAACAGGAUUAGAUACCCUGGUAGUCCAUGCCGUAAACGAUGAUUACUAAGUGGUGGGAGGGUUUCCGCCCUUCAGUGCUGCAGCUAACGCAUUAAGUAAUCCGCCUGGGGGAGUACGACCGCAAGGGUUGAAACUCAAAAAGAAUUGGCGGGGGGCCCGCACAAGCGGGGGGAGCAUGGUGGUUUUAAUUCGAAGCUACGCGGAAGAACCUUUACCAG